AUAUUUGAGAGUUUGAUCCUGGCUCAGGAUGAACGCUGGCGGCGUGCCUAACACAUGCAAGUCGAGCGAUCUCUUCGGAGAGAGCGGCGGACGGGUGAGUAACGCGUGGGUAACCUGCCCUGUACACACGGAUAACAUACCGAAAGGUAUACUAAUACGGGAUAACAUACGAAAGUCGC
Molecule: ribosomal RNA, 179 nt
Filed under: Paraclostridium bifermentans
Lineage: Bacteria; Bacillati; Bacillota; Clostridia; Peptostreptococcales; Peptostreptococcaceae
Description: partial 16S ribosomal RNA
Rfam family: Bacterial small subunit ribosomal RNA
Source: RNAcentral